This 749-nucleotide long non-coding RNA is filed under the name Androctonus crassicauda. The record is from RNAcentral. Lineage: Eukaryota; Metazoa; Arthropoda; Arachnida; Scorpiones; Buthidae.
AAACAGUUAGCUUGCUCCUAUCAUCCCAUGCACAAACAAUAGAAUUGUCUUCUAACCAAUUGUGGGCACGUUUAAUUUUUAAUCGCAGGGAUUUUAAUUGAUUAGGAUUAAAGUUCUUAAUGUUGGAUGCCAUCUGCCAUCUGAUCUCAUCAGCUUUUAUUGGAUCACACUCCUUCAGUAUUGGUUCUAACUGUACUGCUACAUUUUCCCAUGUUGGAACAUUUUGUACUAAAGUGUUAGGACCUAAACUAAGUAUUUGGUCCACAAAGUCUGGUACCAGUAUAUUAUCCAACGCCACAUAAGGUUUAACUUCCGGUUUGUUUUUCUUUUUGAGCUGAGUGUAGAAUAACCACUUAAGCUUUUUUACAUAUCUUUUGUGAAGGAUAGAUUGAAUUCGAUUAAUAAACAGAGCAUAAAGUGGAAGGGAUACUUUCAGGCUUUCAAUACUCAGAUCCUGUAUGCCCUUGUAGAUGAGAUACGAUUUAAAACGGAAUAAUUCCCUUCUAGAGUCCGAAAUAGCCGCUGCUAAACAUCGCUUCUUAGUAAUUACUAAUAAAUUCUUCGACCUUACCGGUAAUGUAAGUCUAUGUAUUGAUGACGGAAAAACUCUGUUGCAUCGACAUUGCUUCAAGAACAAAAAACGUUCUUCCAAGGUUACCAACUUCCUAAUGUCUUUCUUUCCGAUAAAGGCUGGCUCAGCCUGCAUUACGAACUCAUAAAAUACAACACUAUACACUGUCAGGAGUUAA